UUUGAAGGAUAUAGGGCAUUU
This 21-nucleotide non-coding RNA is filed under the name Caenorhabditis elegans. The record is from RNAcentral. Lineage: Eukaryota; Metazoa; Nematoda; Chromadorea; Rhabditida; Rhabditidae.